This 253-nucleotide ribosomal RNA is filed under the name uncultured bacterium. RNAcentral's name for it is "partial 16S ribosomal RNA". It matches the Rfam family "Bacterial small subunit ribosomal RNA", at positions 524 to 776 of the family's 1533-position model. The record is from RNAcentral.
UACGUAGGUGGCAAGCGUUGUCCGGAUUUACUGGGCGUAAAGAGCGCGCAGGCGGUCGUUCAAGUCGCGUGUGAAAGCCCCCGGCUCAACUGGGGAGGGUCACGCGAUACUGAUCGACUCGAAGGCAGGAGAGGGUAGUGGAAUUCCCGGUGUAGUGGUGAAAUGCGUAGAUAUCGGGAGGAACACCAGUGGCGAAGGCGACUACCUGGCCCAAUACUGACACUCAGGUGCGACAGCGUGGGGAGCAAACAGG